AAAGGAGAGGCUUGGUGGCUCAGACGGUAAAGAAUCUGCCUGCAACGCAGAAGACCCAGGUUUGACCGCUGGGUCGGGAAGAUCCCCUGGAGUAGGAAAUGGCUACCCACUCCAGUAUUCUUGUCUGGAGAAUUCCAUGGACAGAGGAGCCUGGUGAGCUACAGUCCAUGGGGUCACAAAGAGUCGGACGUGACCGAGUGGCUAACACCACUACUACUGCUGGUCCCUUCCAGGACGAUGGCUGUGGAAGAACUAAGCUGGACUCCAGAAGUGGAUGCGGGCUUGGAGUUGCUGACUUGCCAAAGGCCCGGGGCUAAGAAGAGGCAGGAGUGACACCAGAACCCAGGGCUUCUAACUCAGAACCUCCUUCCAUGGCACAACAAACCGUCUCCCUGGAGUGCCGCAGCUAAAACCACCUCAUUGAACUCUCACCCGGGAGAGAAGGUCAUGCCGACUGAGUACUCCGCUCCAAGCCUGGGGAACAUCUGGUCUUUGUGGGGGCACAAACCUACAGACAAGAUUGCUACCCACAAAACGGCAACUAAGUCCCAGGACACAUGCCGAAAAUAUUUUUUGACAUUUUAGAGCUAUAGAUUCCUUUUGUGGCCCGUGAAUUUAUUGCAAGGGGUCCAUACAUCCAUAUGAACCACCAUGCCUCAAGUAUUGAGAGACUGAAUAUACAAACAAUGGUCAGAGCACAUUAAAAAAAAAAAAAAAAUAGCACUUUGACCUGCAACCUGCCCAGGAAUCCAACCCUUUAUCUAAUAAAUGACUCAGGUAGUCAGCCUGUUAUAAGUCAAACUUUUGCAGGCAGCCAGUUUGCUCUUUCCAGUGACAAUCCAGGAAGCUAAACACUAAUUCUGUAAAAAGCAGCCCCAAAUGCCCAGGACUUGAUUAAUAAAUGACAGCUUCUGUAAUUUUUUGUCCCUGCUUCCAACUCAGGACCAACCAGAGAAAGCUACAUAUGUACCCCUAACAAAUAGGAUAGGCUGAUUCCAGUUAGCCUGGAGCUGCUGCAAGCCAACAGUGUCCAAUCAGGGCAUACCUGAAGCCCUCCAGUUCUUCCACCAGAAAGCUCUUCCAUACCUCUGCCUGCCUUUCAGUUUCUGCAAAACGCAAGUGACCAUGUUGUCUCUCCCUUAUUGUAAACAACCUUUGCUUUUCUCAUUUGGUUGGUCUUCCUCAAUUUCCAGAGAUACAAUGUGGCUCAUUUGUACACAUAUCACACCCUUCGAAUAGCUGUAGCUGCUGUUGUGACAUGCA
Molecule: long non-coding RNA, 1263 nt
Organism: Bos taurus (domestic cattle)
Lineage: Eukaryota; Metazoa; Chordata; Mammalia; Artiodactyla; Bovidae
Source: Ensembl